Molecule: long non-coding RNA, 345 nt
Organism: Vitis riparia (riverbank grape)
Lineage: Eukaryota; Viridiplantae; Streptophyta; Magnoliopsida; Vitales; Vitaceae
Exons: 5
Source: RefSeq, a predicted model, not a curated record
CCUUGAUCCAAUGGCUGUCAACCAUGUGAUGAUCUUAAGGACAUAGUUAACAUGGCAAUGAGAAUCAACCCACCGGAAAAACAGAAAACAUCAAAGAGGGAGCCAACUUGGGUGAAAGUGGUUUGCCCAAGACAACCAGGUAGUGUGGAAUGUGGGUAUUAUGUGAUGAGAUAUAUGAAGGAAAUCAUUGCUAAUCCAAACCAACUAACAUCAAAGUUUUGCGGGAAGAAAUCAUAUAGUGAAAUGGAAAUUAAUGAAGUUCGAUCAGAUUGGGUUAUGUUAGUGACUCAGUUAAUCAUUACUCAUGUUUGAAGUUGGCAGUGUUUUCAAUAUGGAUCAUUUGGG